RNAcentral lists this ribosomal RNA (460 nucleotides) under uncultured bacterium. RNAcentral describes it as "bacterial SSU rRNA". It matches the Rfam family "Bacterial small subunit ribosomal RNA", at positions 30 to 483 of the family's 1533-position model. The record is from RNAcentral.
AUUGAACGCUGGCGGCAUGCCUAACACAUGCAAGUCGAACGGUAACAGGCCCUUCGGGCGCUGACGAGUGGCGGACGGGUGAGUAAUGCUUAGGAAUCUGCCUAGUAGUGGGGGAUAACCCGGGGAAACUCGGGCUAAUACCGCAUACGUCCUACGGGAGAAAGCGGGGGACCUUCGGGCCUCGCGCUAUUAGAUGAGCCUAAGUCCGAUUAGCUAGUUGGUAGGGUAACGGCCUACCAAGGCGACGAUCGGUAGCUGGUCUGAGAGGACGACCAGCCACACUGGGACUGAGACACGGCCCAGACUCCUACGGGAGGCAGCAGUGGGGAAUAUUGGCAAUGGGCGCAAGCCUGAUCCAGCGAUGCCGCGUGUGUGAAGAAGGGCCUGCGGGUUGUAAAAGCACUUUCAGUAGGGAAGAAAAGCCGAGUGCUAAUAUCACUCGGUCUUGACGUUACUUACA